UGGGAGUCUGGUGCUUUUAUUUAAUAUCAAAACAAAGAUGAGCACUGCUGCAGUUAGAGGGUAUCAUCCCUGUCUGAUGCCCACAAAUAGAGUCAGUGGCUGACAGGUUCUCUAAGGGGGUGCUGUUAUUGUUAGUUUUCUUAUUGUCUGCCUUGAAUCAUGUUUUUUACAUCUCUUUCUCUGUCUGUCCUUCUCUUCCUCUUUCACUUCUUACUUUUUCACUGUUGUCUACCUCACUGAGUCACAUGUUCUUGUUCUCUAACAGGAAAACUGUACUUCUUGCUUAACAAUCACAAUGUAAAACUGAGUUUACAAUAAAAAUUAACACUUUGGAUGUUAAUUUCAUUACAGCUUGGAAGUUUUUUAAUAUGCUGAAAUAUUAUACUAAAUGAAAAUUCAGUCUGUUGAUUUCAAUGAAAUAAAAAUAACAAAACUAGAAACCAGAUCACAAGAACUGGAACGAUACCAAAUAAAAAGGAACUUACAUCUCUAUUGCCUAAUAAAACAAAAAAAAGGAGAACAUUAGAGAAAAGGUGUCGGUCAAAGAAGUGAGGAGCAAACGACAUUCUUGGUGUUGAUCCGAUGAUGUUGUCGAAGGGCAAGCAGUGCAUCCAAAUCCGGAGAAAUCAGGAGCUGAGGUAAGGAAACAGGAGCGAAGAGUCAGAUGAGGUGAAGAUGCACUAAGGAAGCACAGAAGGAACUGAUCUGUCAAAGUUUCUGUAACCUGGGAUUGAUGGUGUGGCUUCCUUUAUACUCACCCCUGCUGAUACCUGCCAAGUGUGUUCGGCUGGGGUGUGGUCGAGGGUAGGACACCUCACAUGUGACAUGUUAAUCAAUCAUCUUUUUGUUGAUAGUUGUCCACAAUGGCUGAAGUUAUCCCUGCUUCAGAUGGGAAUGAUGCUAUCAAAGAAGGUGUCCAGUAUAUGAACAGUAACAGAACUGAUCUCAUUCAGUGUGUUGUGGAGGUCAUGCCCAUCGCAGAUGAGCUGCUGCAGAGUAACAUGAUUCACAAGGAGACAUACAGUAAACAGGAGUUUUGGAACCAAUCAGGGCAAGAUGAGAGAAUUGUACAUUGCCCUGGAUUCUGGAUGUGACAAAGUGAAAUCUGCCUUUUACACCUCACUGAAGAAGAACUGUCCUCAUCUGGUUAUGGAAUCUACCUCUACAGGUGAACUGGUGUUCUUGUCUGUGUAUGUUGCAUUAAUUAAUUUUUUGUUUUAAUAUUGAAAGCAUAAAAAUGAGAAAAAAAUGGUUUUUGUAUUGUUUCUGAGCACACAAAAAAUGAAAAGGAC
This 1292-nucleotide long non-coding RNA is filed under the name Scleropages formosus (Asian bonytongue). RNAcentral's name for it is "lncRNA (ENSSFOG00015032421.1)". The record is from RNAcentral. Lineage: Eukaryota; Metazoa; Chordata; Actinopteri; Osteoglossiformes; Osteoglossidae.